This 301-nucleotide ribosomal RNA is filed under the name uncultured bacterium. RNAcentral describes it as "partial 16S ribosomal RNA". It matches the Rfam family "Bacterial small subunit ribosomal RNA", at positions 509 to 807 of the family's 1533-position model. The record is from RNAcentral.
CAGCCGCCACGGUAAUACGUAGGUGGCAAGCGUUAUCCGGAAUUAUUGGGCGUAAAGCGCGCGUAGGCGGUUUUUUAAGUCUGAUGUGAAAGCCCACGGCUCAACCGUGGAGGGUCAUUGGAAACUGGAAAACUUGAGUGCAGAAGAGGAAAGUGGAAUUCCAUGUGUAGCGGUGAAAUGCGCAGAGAUAUGGAGGAACACCAGUGGCGAAGGCGGCUCACGGGCUCAUACUGGACGCUGAGGUGCGAAAGCGUGGGGAGCAAACAGGAUUAGAUACCCCAGUAGUCCCUGUCUCUUAUAC